UACGGAGGGAGCUAGCGUUGUUCGGAAUUACUGGGCGUAAAGCGUACGUAGGCGGCUUUGUAAGUUAGAGGUGAAAGCCCGGAGCUCAACUCCGGAACUGCCUUUAAGACUGCAUCGCUAGAAUCCGGGAGAGGUGAGUGGAAUUCCGAGUGUAGAGGUGAAAUUCGUAGAUAUUCGGAAGAGCACCAGUGGCGAAGGCGGCUCACUGGACCGGCAUUGACGCUGAGGUACGAAAGCGUGGGGAGCAAACAGG
This 253-nucleotide ribosomal RNA is filed under the name uncultured bacterium. RNAcentral describes it as "partial 16S ribosomal RNA". It matches the Rfam family "Bacterial small subunit ribosomal RNA", at positions 524 to 776 of the family's 1533-position model. The record is from RNAcentral.